UGGGGAAUAUUGGACAAUGGGCGCAAGCCUGAUCCAGCCAUGCCGCGUGAGUGAUGAAGGCCCUAGGGUUGUAAAGCUCUUUCACCGGUGAAGAUAAUGACGGUAACCGGAGAAGAAGCCCCGGCUAACUUCGUGCCAGCAGCCGCGGUAAUACGAAGGGGGCUAGCGUUGUUCGGAUUUACUGGGCGUAAAGCGCACGUAGGCGGACUUUUAAGUCAGGGGUGAAAUCCCGGGGCUCAACCCCGGAACUGCCUUUGAUACUGGAAGUCUUGAGUAUGGUAGGGGUGAGUGGAAUUCCGAGUGUAGAGGUGAAAUUCGUAGAUAUUCGGAGGAACACCAGUGGCGAAGGCGGCUCACUGGACCAUUACUGACGCUGGGGUGCGAAAGCGUGGGGAGCAAACAGG
RNAcentral lists this ribosomal RNA (404 nucleotides) under Actinomycetes bacterium. Its description in RNAcentral is "Actinobacteria bacterium partial 16S ribosomal RNA". It matches the Rfam family "Bacterial small subunit ribosomal RNA", at positions 355 to 776 of the family's 1533-position model. The record is from RNAcentral. Lineage: Bacteria; Bacillati; Actinomycetota; Actinomycetes.